Long non-coding RNA from Dreissena polymorpha, 786 nucleotides. RefSeq lists it as uncharacterized. The transcript has 2 exons. Lineage: Eukaryota; Metazoa; Mollusca; Bivalvia; Myida; Dreissenidae. The record is from RefSeq and is a predicted model, not a curated record.
GUAUCAUCACGUCAGAUAAUCCAUAAUUGCCCCUGGCUAAUUUUAUCGUAAAUUGUUGACAAGCCGAUUAAAUACCGCUUGGAACUAGCUUUAAAUAUUCGGAAUCUAAAGGGAGUAAAGCGAGUAACCAUUGUUGUCAUAACUGAGGAUAGGACGCUCACGAAACCAGUUUCAAGAUGAUUGCUGUUAUAAAAAGAAUGGGGCUCGUGGUCACGUGCCUUGCCCUUCUUGUGCUGCCGUUGACCACAGCAGGGGUGUACUUCCCACGUGAUUCGGAUGCAGACGACAUAAGCAUGUUCCCGCCUAAAUUGUCUACUGCCGACCGCUUUCUUGACCUUUCUUCCAACGUAGAAAGCCGAAGUCGUCCGAAGACGCCCGAAAUCAGUUUUUCAGAUGAAAACCUGCAGAUUAAACGUCAGAACUCGGUAGGCUGUCGCGGUUGUUCCUCCUUCGACGUACAUCUUUGCGAGAUCGGAUGUAUCUUGAACAGCGGACCGGGGAGCAGCGGACCCGAUUCCCAGUGCUUAGACGAGUGUGCUGAAACCUUUAUAAGGUGUGUCGGCUGCCUUAACAAAACGUCUUGACUGUGUAUAAAAUAUAAUUAAGCGGCAUUCUGAGACUGAGACUUUAAGCUCGGUGCGUACGAUAUUAAUUAACCCAUUCAUGCCUAGCGUCCUGAAAAAAAUGACAUUGCAAACAGCGUAAACCCAGAUGGGUGUACGCUGUUUGCUUAAAGGAAUUUCUGUAAGAAUUGUUCUAAAUAUAGAAAUAAAUAUACUAGACAUC